AACAGAGAGUGAAUAGAAAAUGAUACAAAAAAGAGGGAACAGAAGAGCUCUCAUCCAAGACGUCCCUUCAAGUGUGGAUGGCUCAGGGUAACCAGUGUUUAUCUUGCAGUAGUAGUACCAUGCCUCAAAAACAUGCACCUGCACAAACAACAUGACCUUGUUUACUUCCAUCCCAAAACCCGUCACAUCGAAUCUUUAGACGCAUACAUGGAGUAUUAAAUAUAGACGAAAAUAAAAACUAAUUGUACAGUUUAGUCGGAAUUUACGAGACAAAUCUUUUGAGUCUAGUUAGUCUAUAGUUGGACAAUAAUUACCACAAACAAAUGAAAGUGCUACAGUGUCACAAAUUUUUUCUCAUGAGGAAGUAAACACGGCCCAUGUGAAACUUGUUCUUGGAAUCAUGAAACCCUCAAACCAAAUACAAAUCACAAGGCCAAUCACUAGUCACAAGUAUUGACACCGUGGAACUGCUAAGUAUAUCCAUCCGUGGAACUGCAAAGUGGGAUGACUGAAAGUCUAAAAUGGCACUACGUCCAAAACAAACAAGAGCAGAGAAAUUUGGAAACGCAACCAGAAAACCAAAAUAAAGUGUACACGAGAGAAGC
Molecule: long non-coding RNA, 605 nt
Filed under: Sorghum bicolor (sorghum)
Lineage: Eukaryota; Viridiplantae; Streptophyta; Magnoliopsida; Poales; Poaceae
Description: long non-coding RNA (SBIC_LNC007362)
Source: RNAcentral